UGCUCAGGACGAACGCUGGCGGCGUGCCUAAUACAUGCAAGUCGAGCGGACUUAAAAAGCUUGCUUUUUAAGUUAGCGGCGGACGGGUGAGUAACACGUGGGCAACCUGCCUGUAAGACUGGGAUAACUUCGGGAAACCGGAGCUAAUACCGGAUAAUCCUUUCCUACUCAUGUAGGAAAGCUGAAAGACGGUUUACGCUGUCACUUACAGAUGGGCCCGCGGCGCAUUAGCUAGUUGGUGAGGUAACGGCUCACCAAGGCGACGAUGCGUAGCCGACCUGAGAGGGUGAUCGGCCACACUGGGACUGAGACACGGCCCAGACUCCUACGGGAGGCAGCAGUAGGGAAUCUUCCGCAAUGGACGAAAGUCUGACGGAGCAACGCCGCGUGAGUGAUGAAGGUUUUCGGAUCGUAAAACUCUGUUGUUAGGGAAGAACAAGUACGAGAGUAACUGCUCGUACCUUGACGGUACCUAACCAGAAAGCCACGGCUAACUACGUGCCAGCAGCCGCGGUAAUACGUAGGUGGCAAGCGUUGUCCGGAAUUAUUGGGCGUAAAGCGCGCGCAGGCGGUCCUUUAAGUCUGAUGUGAAAGCCCACGGCUCAACCGUGGAGGGUCAUUGGAAACUGGGGGACUUGAGUGCAGAAGAGAAGAGUGGAAUUCCACGUGUAGCGGUGAAAUGCGUAGAGAUGUGGAGGAACACCAGUGGCGAAGGCGACUCUUUGGUCUGUAACUGACGCUGAGGCGCGAAAGCGUGGGGAGCAAACAGGAUUAGAUACCCUGGUAGUCCACGCCGUAAACGAUGAGUGCUAAGUGUUAGAGGGUUUCCGCCCUUUAGUGCUGCAGCAAACGCAUAAGCACUCC
This 864-nucleotide ribosomal RNA is filed under the name Niallia sp. RNAcentral's name for it is "bacterial SSU rRNA". It matches the Rfam family "Bacterial small subunit ribosomal RNA", at positions 21 to 870 of the family's 1533-position model. The record is from RNAcentral. Lineage: Bacteria; Bacillati; Bacillota; Bacilli; Caryophanales; Bacillaceae.